RNAcentral lists this ribosomal RNA (278 nucleotides) under uncultured Alloprevotella sp. Its description in RNAcentral is "partial 16S ribosomal RNA". It matches the Rfam family "Bacterial small subunit ribosomal RNA", at positions 511 to 788 of the family's 1533-position model. Lineage: Bacteria; Pseudomonadati; Bacteroidota; Bacteroidia; Bacteroidales; Prevotellaceae. The record is from RNAcentral.
GCCGCCGCGGUAAUACGGAAGGUCCAGGCGUUAUCCGGAUUUAUUGGGUUUAAAGGGAGCGCAGGCGGCGGCGUAAGUCAGUUGUGAAAUCGUGCGGCUUAACCGUGCAAUUGCAGUUGAUACUGCGUCGCUUGAGUGCACACAGGGAUGUUGGAAUUCAUGGUGUAGCGGUGAAAUGCUUAGAUAUCAUGAAGAACUCCGAUCGCGAAGGCAUAUGUCCGGAGUGCAACUGACGCUGAGGCUCGAAAGUGUGGGUAUCAAACAGGAUUAGAUACCCC